GGUGCCCUUGACGGUAUCUCCUCCGGUGAACUUCUUGGUGACGGCGAACUCCCAGGCGUUCUUGUUGGUGUCGAAGAGGGGUUCGAUGGUGGUGAGGCGGUCGACCCCGUGCGCGUAGGUGUACUUGACGCGGCAGCCGCCGGAGCCGAGCGAGUGGGAGAGGGUGACCUUGUUGGCGGGGUCGAAGGUGACGCUGCAGUCAAGCGCGGUGCGGGAGGGCAGCGCGGCGGCGGGGGGCGCGGGGGCCGGGGCGAAACUGGUG
This 262-nucleotide long non-coding RNA is filed under the name Sorghum bicolor (sorghum). RNAcentral describes it as "long non-coding RNA (SBIC_LNC000018)". Lineage: Eukaryota; Viridiplantae; Streptophyta; Magnoliopsida; Poales; Poaceae. The record is from RNAcentral.